UUAACUCAAAUUUGUUUGCAAUUGGAACGUUUGCCUACGUUUGCCGCUAGGGGCGCUGUUCGAACUGCAUACAAAAAUUGGUUA
Non-coding RNA from Bombyx mori (domestic silkworm), 84 nucleotides. NCBI's taxonomy places the organism in Eukaryota, Metazoa, Arthropoda, Insecta, Lepidoptera, Bombycidae. The record is from Rfam.